CGUCAUUUACACCCUCAAGCUUAGCUUGGUGUUGGGCGUCUGUCCCUGCUCUUUGCAAGGACUCGCCUUAAAAAUAUUGGCAGCGGCUUUGCCAGCUUCUUGUGCAGCACUUUGCGCUCUUGGAGGCUCUGGUAAGGAAGCGUCCACUAAGACCCCCCCCGUUUGACCUCGAAUCAGGUAGGGAUACCCGCUGAACUUAA
Molecule: unclassified non-coding RNA, 200 nt
Filed under: soil metagenome
Description: partial contains internal transcribed spacer 2 and large subunit ribosomal RNA
Source: RNAcentral